UGAAGGAAGGGCUCGAGUCUGCGUCAGGGCCGCAAGUUCAAAUCAUGCUCAGAACGUGUUGAGACCAGUUCUGGCCUGUUUGGUCUUCAUACACCCAUGAUCCAGAAUACUUGCAGAAUUUUCCUUAUUUCUAGUCUUUUGUACCAUAUUUGGGAUAAUUAGCUGAAUAUCAUCAGUGCCAUGGAUAAUUCAUGCAAAGGCGCAAGCCCAAGCCAUGUGAACGGCCUAUUUGAAAACGUUUUUUUUUUUUUUUUUUAACUGAGGCUUCUGGGACAGUGGCUAUUGAAUAAAUGCCUCUUCUGCCCACCCCAGAAUCCAGUGACGUUUCAGCAGCAUGAAGAUGGGAGCCACAUGCUAUACUUAUAGGCUAGAGAUAAACUUCAUGUCCUUCUUAUUUUUAUUGUUAACAUUACUGUUUUGAUUCUAUCAUUCACUCCUAUUUGCCGAGCAUCUACUAUAGGCUUAGUAUUUUGCAGCUCUAAUGAGAAGAGGAAUUAUUUUUUUAAAAAAUGACUAUAGCACUCUCACAUUGCAGAGGGAAAGGAUGCAUAUUUAGAUAUCUAGGUGAAUUUUCCAUUUCUGCAAAGGUGGACUCCAGAGCCCAGUGUGCAAUGUGAGUAUUGAGUAUGCUAUGUAAUCAAGGAAUGAAGGAGAAUGGAGCUAGAUCUGCAACAGAAGCUGCAGAAAACAAGAUGGCAGCCCAGGUCCCAGCAGAAGCCAGAGUUGGAAACAAGAGAAGCAGACGAAUGUGACCACCCGCCACACCCACCCACAGGGAAUCCUAGGGACUGAAAUCAUUUUGUGUUUGCCUUCAACUUAAGAUAGGUCCCAGAGAAUUGGAGGAUGUGGGGACCAGGAUGCCUCAUUGCACAACUCCAAGAGGCACAUUACAGUCGGUGGGUGUACAGGAGGGCGCGGCACUCUAGUUACAUCCACAUCAUCUCAUUUAAUCUUCACAACCCUCCUGGAAGAAAGGCAUCAUGAUCCUUGUCUCACAGAUAAAGAAACUGAGACUUCGAGAAUA
This is a non-coding RNA of Saimiri boliviensis boliviensis (Bolivian squirrel monkey), 1024 nucleotides long. Lineage: Eukaryota; Metazoa; Chordata; Mammalia; Primates; Cebidae. The record is from RefSeq and is a predicted model, not a curated record.